GAUUGGUCUUCACCACGCCCACAUUUCUAUUAGGCCUCAUUUGCAUGCAUACGGGAUAUACUUUUCGCGCACUAAGUAAAUGAGCUUGUGCAGUUCUGUGCAUUAUGGAGGCGUCCUCAUCGAAAAGUGUUCGGGAGUCUCGGAUUGUGAGGAUUCCUUCCAGCGUGUCCAGCUAUGUCAGCUGAUGGUGACUGCCUCAGAAAAGAGGCGGAGAGGUGGAGAGCGUGCAGUUCUUUGUGUGGGUGCAUCCAAUAGCAGGACAGCGUCAGUCCCCUGCAUACCUCCCAGGAUUCCGUUUACCUUUCUCAGAGGAAUGUCGACGGGUAAACAUGCGAACAGGACCAUGAAAGAUUGUGUUUUAUCAAUCUGCUACUGCACAUUUGCUUUGUUUGUUACUCUGCUGCCAGUUUAAGCAGUUUUAUUAAGCGUAUGUGCUUCCUGUGCUUGGUUUUACUGCCGCUCUGCUUGGUUUUACUGCUGCUCUGACUGAGAGCGCUCUCCAGGACGCCCCCCUUAAAUAGCGGAGUCUCGGCUGCAGAGCCUCGGGUGCUGUGAAAGGAAGGAGACAUGUGACCUCUGGUGGCGAUUACUGCUUGUGAGGAUUCUUUCCAGCGUGUCCAGCUAUGUCAGCUGAUGGUGCCUGCUUCAGAAAAGAGGUGGAGAGCAUGCAGUGCUUUGUGCGGGUACAUCCAAUAGCAGCGUGGCAGUCCACUGCAUACCGCCCAGGAUUCCGUUUACCUGUCUCUGAGGGACUUACACGAGUAAAGAUGUGAAUAGGAACAUGAAAGAUUGUGUUUUAUCAAUCUGCUGUUGCACAUUUGCUUUGUUUGUUUCUCUGUUGGCAGUUUAAGCAGUUUUAUUAAGCGUAUGUGCUUGGUUUUACUUCUGCCCUGACUGACAGCGCUCUCCAGGACGCACCCCUUAAGUAGCAGAACCUCAGGUACCAUGGACCCUGCGCAAGGAUGACACGCAAAUUUGUGAAGCGGUCCAUAUUUUUGUCCCCUAUGUCGAAGUCAAAGUGUUUUUAUUUGUUAAGUGCACAGUAUAACACAGGUCAUUCUGAGCAAAGAAAUUCUUAUGACAUGGCAGGCAGCAACUACGUAGAAGCAGAGCAAAAAUAUCAAAAAAUAUCUAAAAUAUACAUAAUAUUAAACAUAUUUAAAUAUUAGCAGCAGUACCAGCCUGUACAGAUGGGGGAUAUGGACAGUGAGAAUUGGAGUAUUACAUAUUUAAAUAUUAAACAAAGUGCAGGAGUGCUGAUGAAUAUGUGCAUAAGAUUGUGAUAAUGUACAUUGAACGUACAUAGGAAGUGAAGGAGCAUACAUAGGAGGUCAUGUGAUCCCUGAGAUUAAUGUUGCUGGUUGAGAAGCCUGAUGGCCUGGGGGAAAAAACUGAGUCUGGUCGUCCGUGCCCGGAUGCUCCGGUAGCGUCUACCAGACGGCAGCAGCGAGAACAGACCAUAGCCUGGGUGGCUGAAGUCUUAUGAUUUUCUGUGCUUUCCUAAGGCAUCGUGUGUGGUAGAUGCCUUGCACGGAGGGGAGGUGGCAGCCAAUGAUGCCCUCCGCUCUCUUCACCACCCUCUGGAGGGCUUUGCGGUCAGCAGCGGAGCAGCUGCCAUACCAGGCAGUAAUGCAGCCGGGUCUGACUAACAUUUUUCCAAUGUUUGACUCCGUAUUUUGGUCCUUGUUCCGACUCUGAAUCCUGAUCCUGUAUCCAGGACACAAGAUGGCGGUGCCCUGUUUGAGGUCUAGUAUGUUUCUGUGGCUUUUUCCUCUUUAGAGCUUGUUUUUUUUUCAUGUAAUGAGGGUAAAAUGUUUCCGAAAGGUGGCAGCAAGCAGAAAGGCCAUUCAUAGCAAUUUAGGCCUACGUAGAACUUGGGUAAUGCUGCGAUAUGAUCGGUUUGUGGCAGGUUAGGAAACAAAACUGAACAGACGAUUGUCUGGAUGUACAGGUCUGGCGGUCAGCGUCUGCUUGACCUUUGCUCGUAGUUCCCCUGGGGACAGCGGACGGUUGCCUAAAAAUGCAGAGAUGGCAGAAGCGGGCGGGGCGGGGCGCGGGCCCAGGUUGGGGUGUCUUCCGACGAAGCCACUUGACGUAGCUGAAAGAUUUUAUCAAUCAGUUGCAUUCUCUGCAAAAUUGCAAUAAGAGCGCCUGCUAUAGAAAACAAUAUCUUAUGGCACUUACGUGAUCUUGCUCUUUUCCUCUGACUCGUAGAGGUCCCUCAGCGUGUCCGCUUUGUAUUUUCUGAAGACAACGAGGCCGGGCUGGCUGGCCAGGGACCGCGCUUCCUCCUGCGCUUUGUGGAACCUGACUAACUGCACGAAGUCAGGGUAGACGCAGGCGUAACGGGUGAGAGCGUCCUUGUUGGCCAUCUGAGACCCCUCGGACACGCUGGUCUCCCGCUCCCUCUGGUGCCCAUGCACCAAGUGAAUGGCGUAGCCAGCGGAAGGUCUGACCGUGGUACUUGCCAAACUCCAUGGUGCAUUGCCUCAGCACCAGUCUGGCGUUCCCAUGGUCGCCUCCCGUGGCGAUGACGUGGGCCCGUGCCACCGCCUCCACCUCCUCCGGCUUCCUUGCCCUGAAUGGGGCUCUGCCUCCAGAGGCACCUGGGGCCGAGAGCCUCAGCACCUCUGAAGGUUUCAGGAUGAGACUCCCCGAAAAAAGUCUCCUAAAGAUCGGAUUUUCCCUGAUUGAUGGAAAAGGUGUUAAUUAAUAACUGACCUGGUCAGACCCUGGUACUUUCCAAACUCUGCGGUGCUGUGGCUCAGAAUCAGUUUGGCGUCCCCCGGAGACGAUUGAUGGAAUUAAAGCACGCACUCCCACACUCCCACGAUGAGUUUCUUUACUUGUACACAGGGCAAAAUGUGCUUAUCACAAGGUUCUUAGGCACGGGAAGUUACAGGGAAUAUUUCUGCAAAUGUUUAAUGUCAUUUUGAUUGGUUUGUGGCAGUCGUUCAACUCCCUUGAGCAUUCUUGAAGUUUCCAGAGUUUUCACUAAAGAGUCUAGAAAGGAAAUUUUGUUGAAUUCCCAAUCGAUUUUUGAAGAUUUCUUCAAUUCAAUUUCCAAUUAAAUCCCAGAGCAGGUAUUUAUAGAGUAUUGAAAAGUCACUUAAGUCUGCAUAAAAUGCAGUUUAAAUACAGUUAAAUAGUAUUGGACAUGAUCGGUUUGUGGCAGGUUAGGAAACAAAACUGAACAGACGAUUGUCUGGAUGUACAGGUCUGGCGGUCAGCGUCUGCUUGACCUUUGCCUGUAGUUCCCCUGGAGACAGCGGUCGGUUGCCUAAAAACGCAGAGUUGGCAGAAGCGGGCGGGGCGCGCGGGCCCAGGUUGGGGUGUCUUCCGACGAAGCCACUUGACGUAGCUGAAAGAUUUUAUCAAUCAGUUGCAUUCUCUGCAAAAUUGCAAUAAGAGCGCCUGCUAUAGAGAACAAUAUCUUAUGGCACUUACGUGAUCUUGCUCUUUUCCUCUGACUCGUAGAGGUCCCUCAACGUGUCCGCUUUGUAUUUUCCAAAGCCAACAAGGGUCGCUCCCUCCUGGCCGGGCUGGCUGGCCAGGGACCGCGCUUCCUCCUGCGCUUUGUGGAACCUGACUAACUGCACGAAGUCAGGGUAGAUGCAGGCGUAACGGGUGAGAGCGUCCUUGUUGGCCAUCUGAGACCCCUCGGACACGCUGGUCUCCCGCUCCCUCUGGUGCCGAUGCACCAGGUGAAUGGUGUAGCCCACGUCAUUCCCAGUAGCCAGCGGAAGGUCUGACCCUGGUACUUGCCAAACUCCAUGGUGCAUUGGCUCAGCACCAGUCUGGCGUUCCCAGGGUCGCCUCUCGAGGAGAUGACGUGGACCCGCGCCACCGCCUCCACCUCCUCUGGCUUCCUCGCCCUGAAUGGGGCUCUGCCUCCAGAGGCAUCUGGGGGCCGAGAGCCUCAGCACCUCUGGCGAAGGUUUCAGGAUGAGACUCCCCGAAGGAAGUCUCCUAAAGAUUGGAUUUUCCCUGAUUGAUGGAAAAGGUGUUAAUUAAUAAGUGACCUGGUCAGACCCUGGUACUUUCCAAACUCUGCGGUGCUGUGGCUCAGAAUCAGUUUGGCGUCCCCCGGAGACGAUUGAUGGAAUUAAAGCACGCACUCCCACACUCCCACAAUGAGUUUCUUUACUUGUACACAGGGCAAAAUAUGCUUAUCACAAGGUUCUUAGGCACGGGAAGUUACAGGGAAUAUUUCUGCAAAUGUUUAAUGUCAUUUUGAUUGGUUUGUGGCAGUCGUUCAACUCCCUUGAGCAUUCUUGAAGUUUCCAGAGUUUUCACUAAAGAGUCUAGAAAGGAAAUUUUGUUGAAUUCCCAAUCGAUUUUUGAAGAUUUCUUCAAUUUCCAAUUAAAUCCCAGAGCAGGUAUUUAUACAGAGUAUUGAAAAGUCACUUAAAUCUGCAUAAAAUGCAGUUCAAAUAGUUAAAUAGUAUUGGAUAUGAUCGGUUUGUGGCAGGUUAGGAAACAAAACUGAACAGAAGAUUGUCUGGAUGUACAGGUCUGGCGGUCAGCGUCUGCUUGACCUUUGCCUGUAGUUCCCCUGGAGACAGCGGACGGUUGCCUAAAAACGCAGAGUUGGCAGAAGCGGGCGGGGCGGGGCGGGGUGCGCGGGCCCAGGUUGGGGUAUCUUCCGACGAAGCCACAUGACGUAGCUGAAAGAUUUUAUCAAUCAGUUGCAUUCUCUGCAAAAUUGCAAUAAGAGCGCCUGCUAUAGAGAACAGUAUCUUAUGGCACUUACGUGAUCUUGCUCUUUUCCUCUGACUCGUAGAGGUCCCUCAGCGUGUCCGAUUUGUAUUUUCUGAACCCAACGAGGCCGGGCUGGCUGGCCAGGGUCCGCGCUUCCUCCUGCGCUUUGUGGAACCUGACUAACUCCACGAAGUCAGGGUAGACGCAGGCGUAACGGGUGAGAGCGUCCUUGUUGGCCAUCUGAGGCCCCUCGGACACGCUGGUCUCCCGCUCCCUCUGGUGCUGAUGCACCAAGUGAAUGGCGUAGCCCACGUCAUUCCCAGUAGCCAGCGGAAGGUCUGACCCUGGUACUUGCCGAACUCCAUGGUGCAUUGGCUCAGCACCAGUCUGGCGUUCCCAGGGUCUCUCGAGGAGAUGACGUGGACCCGCGUCACCGCCUCCACCUCCUCUGGCUUCCUCGCCCUGAAUGGGGCUCUGCCUCCAGAGGCACCUGGGGCCGAGAGCCUCAGCACCUCUGAUAAAGGUUUCAGGAUGAGACUCCCCGAAGGAAGUCUCCUAAAGAUCGGAUUUUCCCUGAUUGAUGGAAAAGGUGUUAAUUAAUACCUGACCUGGUCAGACCCUGGUACUUUCCAAACUCUGCGGUGCUGUGGCUCAGAAUCAGUUUGGCGUCCCCCGGAGACGAUUGAUGGAAUUAAAGCACGCACUCCCACACUCCCAUUAUGAGUUUCUUUACUUGUACACAGGGCAAAAUAUGCUUAUCACAAGGUUCUUAGGCACGGGAAGUUACAGGGAAUAUUUCUGCAAAUGUUUAAUGUCAUUUUGAUUGGUUUGUGGCAGUCGUUCAACUCCCUUGAGCAUUCUUGAAGUUUCCAGAGUUUUCACUAAUGAGUCUAGAAAGGAAAUUUUGUUGAAUUCCCAAUCGAUUUUUGAAGAUUUCUUCAAUUCAAUUUCCAAUUAAAUCCCAGAGCGGGUAUUUAUACAGAGUAUUGAAAAGUCACUUAAGUCUGCAUAAAAUGCAGUUUAAAUACAGUUAAAUAGUAUUGGAUAUGAUCGGUUUGUGGCAGGUUAGGAAACAAAACUGAACAGACGAUUGUCUGGAUGUACAGGUCUGGUGGUCAGCGUCUGCUUGACCUUUGCCUGUAGUUCCCCUGGGGACAGCGGACGGUUGCCUAAAAACGCAGAGUUGGCAGAAGCGAGCGGCGCGCGGGCCCAGGUUGGGGUGUCUUCCAACGAAGACACUUGACGUAGCUGAAAGAUUUUAUCAAUCAGUUGCAUUCUCUGCAAAAUUGCAAUAAGAGCGCCUGCUAUAGAGAACAAUAUCUUAUGGCACUUACGUGAUCUUGCUCUUUUCCUCUGACUCGUAGAGGUCCCUCAGCGUGUCCGCUCUGUAUUUGCCAAAGCCAACAAGGGUCGCUCCCUCCUGGCCGGGCUGGCUGGCCAGGGACCGCGCUUCCUUCUGCGCUUUGUGGAACCUGACUAACUCCACAAAGUCAGGGUAGACGCAGGCGUAACGGGUGAGAGCGUCCUUGUUGGCCAUCUGAGGCCCCUCGGACGCCAUCCACCUGGUGCCCAUGCACCAGGUGGAUGGCGUAGCCCACGUCAUUCCCAGUAGCCAGCGGAAGGUCUGACCCUGGUACUUGCCAAACUCCAUGGUGCAUUGGCUCAGAAUCAGUUUGGCGUCCCCCGGAGAUGAUUGAUGGAAUUACAGCACGCAGUCCCACACUCCCAUGAUGAGUUUCUUUACUUGUACACAGGGCAAAAUGUGCUUAUCACAAGGUUCUUAGGCACGGGAAGUUACAGGGAAUAUUUCUGCAAAUGUUUAAUGUCAUUUUGAUUGGUUUGUGGCAGUCGUUCAACUCCCUUGAGCAUUCUUGAAGUUUCCACUUCAAGUUUUCACUAAAGAGUCCAGAAAGGAAAUUUUGUUGAAUUCCCAAUCAAUUUUUGAAGAUUUCUUCAAUUCAAUUUCCAAUUAAAUCCCAGAGCGGGUAUUUAUACAGAGUAUUGAAAAGUCACUUAAGUCUGCAUAAAAUGCAGUUUAAAUACAGUUAAAUAGUAUUGGAUAUGAUCGGUUUGUGGCAGGUUAGGAAACACAACUGAACAGAAGAUUGUCUGGAUGUACAGGUCUGGCGGUCAGCGUCUGCUUGACCUUUGCCUGUAGUUCCCUUGGGGACAGCGGACGGUUGCCUAAAAACGCAGAGAUGGCAGAACGAGUGAAGCGGGGCGCACGGGCCGGUCUGAGUCCCAGGUUGGGGUGUCUUCCGACGAAGCCACUUGACGUAGCUGAAAGAUUUUAUCAAUCAGUUGCAUUCUCUGCAAAAUUGCAAUAAGAGCGCCUGCUAUAGAAAACAGUAUCUUAUGGCACUUACGUGAUCUUGCUCUUUUCCUCUGACUCGUAGAGGUCCCUCAGCGUGUCCGAUUUGUAUUUUCCAAAGCCAACAAGGCUCGCUCCCUCCUGGCCGGGCUGGCUGGCCAGGGACCGCGCUUCCUCCUGCUCUUUGUGGAACCUGACUAACUCCACAAAGUCAGGGUAGACGCAGGCGUAACGGGUGAGAGCGUCCUUGUUGGCCAUCUGAGACCCCUCGGACACGCUGGUCUCCCGCUCCCUAUGGUGCCGAUGCACCAAGUGAACGGCGUAGCCCACGUCAUUCCCAGUAGCCAGCGGAAGGUCUGACCCUGGUACUUGCCAAACUCCACGGUGCAUUGGCUCAGCACCAGUCUGGCGUUCCCAGGGUCGCCUCCCGUGGACCCGCGCCUCCGCCUCCACCUCCUCUGGCUUCCUCGCCCUGAAUGGGGCUCUGCCUCCAGAGGCACCUGGGGCCGAGAGCCUCAGCCCCUCUGAUGAAGGUUUCAGGAUGAGACUCCCUGAAGGAAGUCUCCUAAAGAUCGGAUUUUCCCUGAUUGAUGGAAAAGGUGUUAAUUAAUACCUGACCUGGUCAGACCCUGGUACUUUCCAAACUCUGCGGUGCUGUGGCUCAGAAUCAGUUUGGCGUCCCCCGGAGACGAUUGAUGGAAUUAAAGCACGCACUCCCACACUCCCAUGAUGAGUUUCUUUACUUGUACACAGGGCAAAAUAUGCUUAUCACAAGGUUCUUAGGCACGGGAAGUUACAGGGAAUAUUUCUGCAAAUGUUUAAUGUCAUUUUGAUUGGUCUGUGGCAGUCGUUCAACUCCCUUGAGCAUUCUUGAAGUUUCCAGAGUUUUCACUAAAGAGUCUAGAAAGGAAAUUUUGUUGAAUUCCCAAUCGAUUUUUGAAGAUUUCUUCAAUUCAAUUUCCAAUUAAAUCCCAGAGCGGGUAUUCAUACAGAGUAUUGAAAAGUCACUUAAGUCUGCAUAAAAUGCAGUUUAAAUACAGUUAAAUAGUAUUCACAUUUAAAAUGCUAUUUAAUGUGCUUGAAGUAUUUCCAAAUGAAUGGACCCCAAAUAAUAAUGCUUUUUUUUAAUUUAAAGUUUUCAAAUACUUAAAGUACUACAGCUGUUUUUCAAAUGUUCUUUUUCCAAAUGCCUUGGAUGAAGUAGAAUUUAAGGCCACUGGGUGCGUUUGAAUGCUUUUGCAGAAAACUGAUAAGUAACAGAAAUUUGUGUUCUUUGAUUUGAGAUGUUAGUUGUGACCUUUUUCCAUUUAAAAAGCUGCUGAGUAAUUUUAGGAGAUAAAUGGUUGUCUGCUAUUGAUGUGCGACUUGGCUGUUUUUAUCCUCUGUUGAAUGAUGCAAAUGUUAAAUUGUGUACACCACCGUGCGUGCAUAUUUUAAAUAAAACUUGAAAUGAAACUUAA
Long non-coding RNA from Anguilla rostrata (American eel), 8472 nucleotides. RefSeq lists it as uncharacterized. The record is from RefSeq and is a predicted model, not a curated record. The transcript is spliced from 4 exons. Lineage: Eukaryota; Metazoa; Chordata; Actinopteri; Anguilliformes; Anguillidae.